AACGAACGCUGGCGGCGUGCCUAACACAUGCAAGUCGUGCGAGAAAGUUCCUUCGGGAGCGAGUAAAGCGGCGCACGGGUGAGUAACACGUAGGUAACCUGCCCCCCAGUCUGGAACAACUAGAGGAAGCUCUAGCUAAUGCCGGAUGAGACCACGAUCCCUUCGGGGGUUGCGGCCAAAGAUGGCCUCUACUUGUAAGCUAUCGCUGAGGGAUGGGCCUGCGGGCCAUUAGCUUGUGGUGAGGUAACGGCUCACCAAGGACUGUGAUGGCGUAGCUGGUC
RNAcentral lists this ribosomal RNA (281 nucleotides) under uncultured bacterium. RNAcentral describes it as "partial 16S ribosomal RNA". It matches the Rfam family "Bacterial small subunit ribosomal RNA", at positions 29 to 292 of the family's 1533-position model. The record is from RNAcentral.